Acanthosepion pharaonis is the source of this 113-nucleotide non-coding RNA. NCBI's taxonomy places the organism in Eukaryota, Metazoa, Mollusca, Cephalopoda, Sepiida, Sepiidae. The record is from the annotation of a GenBank genome assembly.
UUGCAGCCACAUCACGUUGAAUGCACCGAUUCUCGUACGAUCAGUGAAGUUAAGCAACGUCGAUCCUGGUCUGUACCUAGAUGGGUGACUGUUUGGGAAAACCGGGUGGUGUA